Molecule: non-coding RNA, 202 nt
Organism: Pelobates cultripes (western spadefoot toad)
Lineage: Eukaryota; Metazoa; Chordata; Amphibia; Anura; Pelobatidae
Source: the annotation of a GenBank genome assembly
AGACAACCUUCUCCUGUUUUGUGAUGACGAGCUCAGGCUCCGGGAGCAGACAGACCUUUUAAUCUCUUUUCUGUAGUGUCGGAGCUUCCUCGUGAACUGGGACAAAACCAUCUUGAUUCUGAUUCAGUCGAUACAGUUCUUCGGAUUUAAGAUAGAUGACCUCUCUUGCACGCUUUGCUUCUCUCCAUCCAAGAUAUCCAGC